AGCAGUAGCAGUGAUAUUGUUGUUGUUUAUUUUUUUCAAUUCAAACUCAGACGGACUCACUGAGGUGCGGUUUGUUCACACCGGUCCUUCAUUAGUGAAACACAAAAAAAGAGACGGAAGGUAUCGUUGUACACAGGCGUGUUGCUGCAGCGAUAAUUAACUCGCGGCUUCACUGGAGCUCUGUGCUGUUCAGAUAUAAUUCUGAACCCAUUGUUUACCCCUCACAAAAAUGGAAUGUGAAUCUAAAAAUGCCCUUUGUGCCAAGAAAAUCAUUGCUAGCGAACCCCAGGAGCCCCCUUAACCCACGCUGCUUGAAAGCCAAGUCAAUCAGAUGCAAUGAUGUUACACCCCUCUCCAAUGAAUACCUUUCACCAGUCAUCAGAGGAAGUGUCCGCGUCUGGCAGCUGAUUAGGAGUUCACCUCAACAUCCAGAAAUGCUGCAUGCUGCGCUGUCAGCCAACCAGUGUCUAUCACAAAAGACAAGUCAAUAAGACCCCAUCACCUCCUACUGGUCACACCGCGAGAUGUGCCAGGUGAGAUCCCCGAACCAUGGUGUGUUCCACUGCCUCAGUGUUCGGCUGUCAAGUGAUAUAGAGGCAACAGGAAGUCAGCCUUUUCUCAUCACGCUCAACAGUCAAGCUCACGGCAUUGAAAUCAACAGCAUGCAGUAGUCUACCACACAUUACUGUGUGAGUAAUGUUAAAUAUUACGGUGAUCCAGUAGAGAGAGUUCCUUCUUUCUCAGUGUCAUCUCACUCUGAACUCUCAUUUCUAAUUUUUAUUCUAACAUUCUAGAUUUAGAUUGAAUUAAAAUAAAAAUACUUCCUUCAUUCUGCUCUGAAAAUCAGUGCUUGAGGUCUAAAAGAGGAAAAAGAGAGACAGAGAUAGGAACUAAACACUGAGAUAGUGAAGCAAUCUAUCAGGAAAAAAUACAGGAAACGCUCUUUUUUCUCUUAUUGUGGUCCAGUUUGGUUUUUUUAGGGUCGACGUUCCAAGAAACCAUUGGAUACUCUUGACAGGCACAUAAAGACAGUUGUAUGUAAAAGGAAACUUGUCACUCUACAAGCCCUCACAAGCUAACGCUGCAGCAAUAACAACUGCUCUCACUUGACUAUUCUCCGCUUCCCUUUGUUUUUAUUUAUAGCAUCCAAUAUCUUGAUCGUAGCUUUUUCAGUAACAUUCAGGACAAAAUACGUACCAGGACGAAGGCCUUACAAUGAUUCAGAAGACAUCCAUAGAGCAGAAAAUACACCUGUCAAAUGCCUCAGAAUAACAUCUGUCAAGGAAGGUAAAAUCAAAGAGAAGAAGAAUUUGAGAAAGAGACCAAAAUAAAUGUACAUUAACGUCAACUGAAAUUCACUGGUGUCCCAAUAUAGAAUAUAUAGAGUGAGAGACUUAAAUAUAAGUAAAUUGACCAAAGGUCUUCUCAGAUGUAUUUUUGUGAUUUAAGAAUGUCAAUCAAAAAUCACGAAACAGUAAUUAACAAUAGAUCGGGACGGACAGAAAGAGAGCAAGUUUCAACUUCACAAAUACAAAGAGAAAUACUGCAUUGGAACAUUUGACUAUGGUCACAUCAGCUUAUACUGGCAUACAUAAGAUGAUGGUUCAAGUUGAUGUGAAAAUGCAAACAAUAUGUGGUAUGAGCUUCAGGAGAUUUACUGAAACAAUAUGAUCUGUAUGACAAACCAGGAUCUGUAUGCUUUGAUAGCAUUGAUAAUGUACAAACAUCACUUUUUUUUCAAUCCUAUUCUCACGGAAAGGAGAGUUAUUACUAGUGUUUUAUAUCUGAUGAGUGUUUUAGCAGCUACUAAAACUGUUGUAGACAUACAGGGAUCUGCAAUGAGAUCCUUUAGCAUGUAGUUUCAAAGUACUUCAAAGACUUAGUUUUGAUGUUUCCAAAUACUUCUGUCCAGACCAUGCUGUACUGAACUACCUUUACUGUUUGCUGCUCAACACAUGGUUGUGAUUUUGUGCUUGAUACCCAAAGGUUCGGGGUUAUUCAACUUUCUGUGGGGGAAUUGUGCAGAGGUUAUGAUCAGGUGUGGUUUGUUAAGAUGUUACAGCAGAGAUAUACUUUGACGUAGGAACCAUGGAAUAUCUCUUUCUUCUGUGAGCUUCAAAACUGUUUUUUGGUUUUGAAACAACUUUCCAGAUGCUUUUCAACUGCAUUUGCCCUCUUUAGUGUUACUUGGCCAGAAUGUUUUCUAUGAAUUUGGAUUUUAAUGCUUUUAGUCUUGAAUGUACUUGUGUUUUUUUUGUUCAAAAGAUGUUUUUCAAAAUAUUUAAAUUUAGUUGGAUUUACUACCUUUAUGUUUUUUAAAAAUGGUUUUGUAAUGUGCA
This is a long non-coding RNA of Cynoglossus semilaevis (tongue sole), 2339 nucleotides long. RefSeq lists it as uncharacterized. Lineage: Eukaryota; Metazoa; Chordata; Actinopteri; Pleuronectiformes; Cynoglossidae. The transcript has 4 exons. The record is from RefSeq and is a predicted model, not a curated record.